This 493-nucleotide ribosomal RNA is filed under the name uncultured bacterium. RNAcentral describes it as "bacterial SSU rRNA". It matches the Rfam family "Bacterial small subunit ribosomal RNA", at positions 31 to 542 of the family's 1533-position model. The record is from RNAcentral.
AACGAACGCUGGCGGCAUGCCUAAUACAUGCAAGUCGAACGAGACCUUCGGGUCUAGUGGCGCACGGGUGCGUAACGCGUGGGAAUCUGCCCUUGGGUUCGGAAUAACUUCGGGAAACUGAAGCUAAUACCGGAUGAUGACGAAAGUCCAAAGAUUUAUCGCCCAGGGAUGAGCCCGCGUAGGAUUAGCUAGUUGGUGGGGUAAAGGCUCACCAAGGCAACGAUCCUUAGCUGGUCUGAGAGGAUGAUCAGCCACACUGGGACUGAGACACGGCCCAGACUCCUACGGGAGGCAGCAGUAGGGAAUAUUGGACAAUGGGCGAAAGCCUGAUCCAGCAAUGCCGCGUGAGUGAUGAAGGCCUUAGGGUUGUAAAGCUCUUUUACCCGAGAUGAUAAUGACAGUAUCGGGAGAAUAAGCUCCGGCUAACUCCGUGCCAGCAGCCGCGGUAAACUACACUACGUACUACGUGACGGGCGGUCGUCGGACGACGGCG